UAGGAACACUUAUUUGCAUCAUGCUGCAUUUGACUUAGGGGACUCAACACAGAGGUUGGGUCCGUCUAGGGCUAGCAACCUGAAAUGAAAAGACCAUUCUGAUGCAUCCUACUUGCUCUGUACAUAUAUUUGUUUCGAACCUACAUGUUGAUUGAUUUCUGAAUCUCGGGAAUGUUGAAAAAUUGAGAAAAAGAGAAAAGGAAAGAGGCAGUUAAUUUCUUAGUUUUAGAAAAAUCAAUGCCCAAAUACUGUCAAAAUUCUGCCGAAAUUUUGAGAAAAUGAAAAAAUAAGAAAAUGUUUUAUUUUUAAUAGUUAGUUUUACUAAAAAAAAGAGCAAAGAAAAAACAAAAAAACAGUCUUUUCAUUUUUGAAAAGUUGUUCGUUGAAAAAGAAAAGAAAAGGAGUCUCUAUUUUAGUUUGGAAAAAAAUAGGUUGUUUAUUGUUUGUUGAAAAAAAAGAGAGUCGUUGUUUUUUCUUGUCUUCAAAAAAUAGAAAAAGAAAAAUAGUCUUGUCGUGCCAUAAAAAAUAAAAAUAAAAAAGAGUCCUGUUUUAAAAUAGUUUGGUUAAUUUUUUCGAACUACGCGGGUUUGAUUCUCACAGGGCGUGGGAUACGUAGGCAACCCUCAUCGGGUCUAACCUUCCAUUUUGCAAAAAAAAGCCAAAAAUGUCAAAUAAGAUACCAUGAGAGAAAUAAAAUGAGAGUGUCUUAUUGUGAAAACCUUCACAGGUACCAUGAGGUGACAGUAAUUUGAGAGAAAGAACAAAUAAGAGAGGUUUAAUGGUGAAACCCCUUUGGGCACUACAAGCCGAAUAAGGAAUGCGAAUCAAAUUGGAUAAGCCCAGUCUCACAGCGAAAAGGUACAACAAGAGCUGAGCAUCAAGUUUGAUUGACAGAAUAACUGUAUGUGUAUGUCAUGGUCAUUAGAGUUGGUAUCCUCACCUGAUAGGUCUCUAAUUCGUAGUUUUCUCUUUUAGGAAUAAUCUCUUUCUGUUCCUAUAUUCCUAUUCACUCCCUCUUUCUGAGUCUGUUUGAUCAUAACAAGUGAGAAAUGACUUUAAAAUUUGCACCAGCUUUUCAAUUGCACAAAUAAUGUCACAAGUCAAGAAGAACAACAAGAGCAUUGAUAUGGUAAUAAUCAACAUGCUUUGGGGAUCCUGAUGAAACACAAAGUUUGAUAGAUGCCGGUUCAGGAGCAAUGCGAUGGGUAGAGGGUAUUAGGUGAAAAUACCAAAGGUAUCUUCCAUGGUAAGACUGACAAAAAUGGUUAACCAGCGACCAGAAAGAUAUUCCAAGCAGAAAUCAGCUGUCAUUGAAGAAUUCGGGGCCAUAUACGAGGUGUAAAAUGUGAAAGUUUGUGAAUAAGGAGUCGACAAGAAGGUCAGAAGUUAUCAGCCAAGUACCAAAGAUGGUCGGACAACGAAAAGCAUGGAAAUGAGAAAAGGAAAGUCAUCCCAAGCAGGAGUGCUACAACCAACCACCGCACUUUAAACUAACAGAAUUUUCUUUGAUUUAAAAUAGGGGCAUGGAAAUUUUUUUGAUUGUGGAAAGAUAUGCUACAGGAAGAUUAUCAAACUGGGGCAGAAAAGUUUCUGCCGUUUUGAAAAUUUUCUUGAAGUCAGGUACCCAUCUGAAGAACAUGAAGGCCAAUACAAGUUUUUUUUUUUUACAAAAAAAAGAGGGAAGUAGUUUUUAGGAAAGAAACACCAGUUUUAAGAAAAGUAAUUUUCGGAGGAAUGAAACACUAGUUUUUAGGGAAGUGAUUUUUGAAGGAGGAAAACACCAGUUUUUAGGGAAGUAGUUCUGAAGGAAGCUAAUUCAAGUUAGAAGGUAGAUAAAGCAAGUUUAGGAGGAAAAUAUUUAAUCGAUAAAAAUCUUUAGGGAAGCAGUUCUGAAGGAAGAUAAUUCAAGAAGGUAGAUAAAACAAGUUUCUAAAGAAAAUGGUUAAUCGAAAAAAUCUUAGUCUGAUGAAUUUUUCAGCUAAGAUAAAGAAAUCUUAGUUUGUUGAAUCUAUCACCUAAGAUAAGAAAUCUUAGUCUGUUGAAUCUUUCACCUAAGAUAUGAAAUCUUAGUCUGAUGAAUCUUUCUCCUAAGAUAAAGGUAGAAACCUAGUUUGAUGAAUAUUAUCCUAGGAUAAUUUGAAAAGAAGGGAAGGCAGAAGUUGAAAAAAAAAAGGAAGGCAUAAUUUGGGAAAAAGAAAGGAAAGCAUAAUUUGGGGAAAAAGAAAGGAAAGCAUAAUUUGGAAAGAAAGGAAGGCAUGAUUUGAAAAAGAAAUAAAGUUGGAAUUUGAAAGAUUAAGAAAGUCUGGAUUCGAAAAAUUGGAUCUAGUUUGAUGAUUUAUCUCCUAGGAUAAAAAUAUUAAUCUGUUGAAUCUAUUCACCUAAGAUAACAAUCUUAGUCUGUUGAAUCUUUCAUCUAGGAUAAAAAUAUUACUAUGUUGAAUCUUUUCGCCUAAGAUAACAAUCUUAGUCUGAUGAAUUUUUUACCUAAGAUAAAUAUAAGAAUCUUAGUCUAUUGAAUCUUUCACCUACAAUAAAAAUCUUAGUCCGAUGAAUUUUUCACCCAAGAUAAAGAUAAGAAUCUUAGUCUAUUGAAUCUUUACCUAAGAUAAAAAUCUUAGUCUGAUGAAUUUUUCACCUAAGAUAAAGAUAAGAAUCCUAGUCUGUUGAAUCUUUCACCUAAGACAAA
Molecule: long non-coding RNA, 2686 nt
Filed under: Nicotiana benthamiana
Lineage: Eukaryota; Viridiplantae; Streptophyta; Magnoliopsida; Solanales; Solanaceae
Description: long non-coding RNA (NBEN_LNC032480)
Source: RNAcentral